Molecule: ribosomal RNA, 253 nt
Filed under: uncultured bacterium
Lineage: Bacteria
Description: partial 16S ribosomal RNA
Rfam family: Bacterial small subunit ribosomal RNA
Source: RNAcentral
UACAGAGGGUGCGAGCGUUAAUCGGAAUUAUUGGGCGUAAAGCGCGCGCAGGCGGUCCUUUAAGUCUGAUGUGAAAGCCCACGGCUCAACCGUGGAGGGUCAUUGGAAACUGGAGGACUUGAGUACAGAAGAGGAAAGCGGAAUUCCACGUGUAGCGGUGAAAUGCGUAGAGAUGUGGAGGAACACCAGUGGCGAAGGCGGCUUUCUGGUCUGUAACUGACGCUGAGGCGCGAAAGCGUGGGGAGCAAACAGG